AUCAACAAAAUAAAGUAUGGUAAUUAGGUAAUCCCUUUUCUGUCUUAUGAAAAAAUUAUUUCAUUUUUCAAAAUGCUGUUUAUGAAUAAUUGUUUUAUGAAUGUUUGGACAUUGGAUAAUAACAUAUUACCUAUCAUCAUCUUGGAAUGAACAUAGAUCAUGAACCUUCUAGACUUUUGUGCCCUAUGAUAGUCAGUGUUAGGCUUUGGUUCCUGUGGAGGAGUAUACUCUCCAUCUUUCUUACUCUCCCUUUUGCCAAGGCAAUAAAAUGUCAAAUAAUCGCGAGGGUGAGCUUCAAUAUUCUUCUUUUUUAUGGCAUCAGCAAUAUCAGAAUACAUCAUCUCCAUGGUCCUUCGUUGCCAAUCCAAUAUCGCCUGAACUGAUGCACUUUCAGGUAUACCUUCUGGCCACAUUGGUAUCACCACAUACACGACAAACCUCUCUCCCGCUUCAAUCUUGCUGACAAUCUUCAAUGAAAUUUCCUUUGGUAUGAGAUGCAAAGCACCAAUAUCUUCAACUUUAAUAUCAGAUGCUUUCCAACCAUAAGAACUCCCUAGGAAAUACUGAUUUUCAAUGUAGAUGAAGUUUUUAGCUCGUCGAAUAGCGUUUAUGUAGGCAUCCUGAAUGCUUCUAUCAAUGAUGUUAUCUUUUCCACUAACAAGUCCUAAUUCAAUAGCUUCAUCGGGUGCUUGAGGGAAGUGAGAAACAGCACCACCGUCUAUGGACCUAAACAACUGAACACUCCAAGUGUCUCCAUCUUCUUCUGAUAUCAUUGCAUCAGAAGGGUGGAUUAGAAUUCUAUAAAGCAAUUCAAUUGGUAGUAGGAAUUGCUUCCCAACUUGCUUUUCCCAUCUUUGCUCAAAGUUGUACAACACGUCCCAUGCAACAGGUCCUUCUAGCUUACAAUGAAUAUCAUGCCACGGUUCUCUAGGACCGCCUUUGUUAAUAGAAGCACCCGGGAAAUUAGGCUGAUGAAAAUCAUCAUGAUGAACUGUAUUCAAUGUUGAAAACAAAGGGUGUUCCAUGGUAUCAUAUCUCCCAUCACACAGAUCGAGUCCGCCUACGAAACUGAUAACGGUCCGCUUCUUUGAUUCUUCAACAUGAUGACCAUCAACAAUUAUAGUCUUUUGGUGAUGAGUGAACAUUGUUGAAAUCUGAAAACCUUGAACGAUGCUUCUUCCACCAUCAGGAUUACGUGGACAUAAAACACAAUGUACCUUUGUGUCUCUAAAGUAAUAUGCAGUUUCUUGAUCGUGUGUUCCCAUCAAACCGUCCUCCUUAAAACCUGGAACAGAGGUUCUGUCAUCCCAAACAAGCAUAAGAACAUUAACACCUUCAUCGGCUUUUCUCUUGAGCAUUUCUCCAAGGGUGAUACUAGUUUCUGUUGACUUUUUUGGGUCCCUAAUCAAGGUUAUUUCAGUAUGAACAGACCAACCUGUUAUGUAAAUAAAGUGUUUGGCAUCCAUAAUUGCAUUGUAAAUAUCUUCCCAACAUCUUCCAGGAACAUAAGAUUUUGUUCCAGAUAUUGGAAUCCAAGGAUGAAUACUAUCAGGAACAUGAGCAUCUUGGUAUAAAGUAACACUACAGCCUUGUCUCUGGUCAAAAAAUAUCCGCGGAACUCCCAAAAAUGGCAUGUGUAUUCCCUGAGACCAUAGACAACUUCUGUCCUCAGUGACACUAGAGAAAUGCAUACUAACACGGAUUUUAGAACCACCUGGUACAGGGCGAUGAUCUUCUUCGUCUAAUAUCUCAACCCAUCUGUCAAUUAUAUGUCCUUUGAGAACUUUUUCAGUAGGGAUGUAAGCUCUUCCAAUUAGAGUUGCUCCAAUUGGAUUAUCAUCUUUGACAGUGAAUACAAGGUUUGAUAUGUAAUGAGCACAAUAGAUUUCAAAGGUUUCGUUCCAUUUGGGGUUUGAAGGUUGAUUCCCUAUCAUUCUGGUUCGUCCAACCCUUGCCUUAUCUAAAUCAACUGUUGCAUAGAGUCUUGUCCCAACAAUCUUCAUCGCAAGUGGUUUUGAAUGUUAAGAUUUUGAAAUAAAAAUUGUAUUAAAUCGAAGAAGCGUGUUGGUAACAGUAGUGAAAGAAUUGUAAAAUUUGGUUAAGAUAUGUACCUCAGGCCGGCACAAGAGACAACCUUUGACUUGGGCCAGAAAUCUCUUCCCCUUGUGUGUUGUGCCCUUUAGUUCCACAAAAUUUGACAAGAUAAUAAAAAAGUAACAUGAAUAUAAAUGAGCUUAAGCAAAUGUUGAUUUCUCUUAAAAAUAAAGUAAUGCAAUAAUAAACAUAUUUGAUUUCUCUUGAUAAGAAUAUGCUAUUUCUUAAUUUCCUGACAAAGCUUAUUUAUUUCAACAGGUACUAUUUACAUGACUGCUAAGAGCAGAAGGUUUUAUCCUGUCCAGCUUUCAAAACAAAUGUGAUAUGGGAUGUGCUUGUGCAGGUAAGUGGGUAUAGUUGUAUAAAUUAUACGGUAUAAUCAUAACUUUUUCAAUUAUACCGUAUAAUCAUAACGAGUUUCAAAAAGGGUACACAUUGAGGCAUUCCUCCGCCAACCUGCUCUAGCGAUGCUUCUCACUCUAGCAUUCCUUCUUGUCUGAGAAGCAUCGCUCAAUCAAUCAUCACGUGAUGAUCCAUACAUUAAGAUGAGACUCGCGUUGUGAUUCCCUCAACAGGAUCACCCUGAUUCACCCUAGCCUUCACUUAUAAAAAAGACAUCGUUCUGAUAAACCUUUCACUCGACUCAAUCGAAUUCUAUAGGUGGUUGCAUGUACAUCACCCCUCCCCGG
RNAcentral lists this long non-coding RNA (2783 nucleotides) under Lathyrus oleraceus (garden pea). RNAcentral describes it as "Pisum sativum (pea) long non-coding RNA (PSAT_LNC036312)". Lineage: Eukaryota; Viridiplantae; Streptophyta; Magnoliopsida; Fabales; Fabaceae. The record is from RNAcentral.